RNAcentral lists this ribosomal RNA (555 nucleotides) under Escherichia coli. RNAcentral's name for it is "partial 23S ribosomal RNA". It matches the Rfam family "Bacterial large subunit ribosomal RNA", at positions 474 to 1029 of the family's 2925-position model. Lineage: Bacteria; Pseudomonadati; Pseudomonadota; Gammaproteobacteria; Enterobacterales; Enterobacteriaceae. The record is from RNAcentral. RNAcentral also lists the same sequence under 1 other name.
UCCUGACUGACCGAUAGUGAACCAGUACCGUGAGGGAAAGGCGAAAAGAACCCCGGCGAGGGGAGUGAAAAAGAACCUGAAACCGUGUACGUACAAGCAGUGGGAGCACGCUUAGGCGUGUGACUGCGUACCUUUUGUAUAAUGGGUCAGCGACUUAUAUUCUGUAGCAAGGUUAACCGAAUAGGGGAGCCGAAGGGAAACCGAGUCUUAACUGGGCGUUAAGUUGCAGGGUAUAGACCCGAAACCCGGUGAUCUAGCCAUGGGCAGGUUGAAGGUUGGGUAACACUAACUGGAGGACCGAACCGACUAAUGUUGAAAAAUUAGCGGAUGACUUGUGGCUGGGGGUGAAAGGCCAAUCAAACCGGGAGAUAGCUGGUUCUCCCCGAAAGCUAUUUAGGUAGCGCCUCGUGAAUUCAUCUCCGGGGGUAGAGCACUGUUUCGGCAAGGGGGUCAUCCCGACUUACCAACCCGAUGCAAACUGCGAAUACCGGAGAAUGUUAUCACGGGAGACACACGGCGGGUGCUAACGUCCGUCGUGAAGAGGGAAACAACCCA